GAUCCUGGCUCAGGAUAAACGCUGGCGGCGCACAUAAGACAUGCAAGUCGAACGGACUUAAUCGAAAUAUUUAUAUUUUGAAGCGGUUAGUGGCGGACUGGUGAGUAACGCGUAAGGAACCUGCCUAUUAGAGGGGAAUAACAGUGAGAAAUCAUUGCUAAUACCGCAUAUGCCAUAGAUAUCACAUGAUAACAGUGGGAAAGGAAGGCAAUCCGCUAAUAGAUGGCCUUGUCGU
RNAcentral lists this ribosomal RNA (235 nucleotides) under uncultured bacterium. RNAcentral describes it as "partial 16S ribosomal RNA". It matches the Rfam family "Bacterial small subunit ribosomal RNA", at positions 15 to 236 of the family's 1533-position model. The record is from RNAcentral.